GUUACUUUUCCAGCAUACUGGAGAUGGAAUCACAAAUAUUUCUUGCCAAAAAGAAAUGGCAUAGCUCCAUACUUUCAGGUCAUUACAGCAUCAAUGAUAUUCUUCUACGUGAUAAAUUAUGGAAAGAUUAGUAAGUGUACAGCACUUUCAA
Agrilus planipennis (emerald ash borer) is the source of this 151-nucleotide non-coding RNA. The record is from Rfam. Lineage: Eukaryota; Metazoa; Arthropoda; Insecta; Coleoptera; Buprestidae.